AGGACGAACGCUGGCGGCGUGCUUAACACAUGCAAGUCGAGCGGAAAGGCCCUUCGGGGUACUCGAGCGGCGAACGGGUGAGUAACACGUGAGCAACCUGCCCUUAGCUCCGGGAUAGCUCCGGGAAACCGGAAUUAAUACCGGAUAUGACCUAGGCCGACAUCGGCUGUGGUGGAAAGUUUUUCGGCUGGGGAUGGACUCGCGGCCUAUCAGCUUGUUGGUGGGGUAAUGGCCUACCAAGGCGACGACGGGUAGCCGGCCUGAGAGGGCGACCGGCCACACUGGGACUGAGACACGGCCCAGACUCCUACGGGAGGCAGCAGUGGGGAAUCUUGCGCAAUGGGCGAAAGCCUGACGCAGCGACGCCGCGUGGGGGAUGAAGGCCUUCGGGUUGUAAACCCCUUUCAGCAGGGACGAAGCGAAAGUGACGGUACCUGCAGAGAAGCGCCGGCUAACUACGCGCCAGCAGCCGC
RNAcentral lists this ribosomal RNA (473 nucleotides) under uncultured bacterium. Its description in RNAcentral is "SSU rRNA". It matches the Rfam family "Bacterial small subunit ribosomal RNA", at positions 26 to 518 of the family's 1533-position model. The record is from RNAcentral.